GUGGGGAAUAUUGGGCAAUGGGCGCAAGCCUGACCCAGCAACGCCGCGUGAAGGAAGAAGGCUUUCGGGUUGUAAACUUCUUUUCUCAGGGACGAAGAAAGUGACGGUACCUGAGGAAUAAGCCACGGCUAACUACGUGCCAGCAGCCGCGGUAAUACGUAGGUGGCAAGCGUUAUCCGGAUUUAUUGGGUGUAAAGGGCGUGUAGGCGGGAGCGCAAGUCAGAUGUGAAAACUCAGGGCUCAACCCUGAGCCUGCAUUUGAAACUGUGUUUCUUGAGUGCUGGAGAGGCAAUCGGAAUUCCGUGUGUAGCGGUGAAAUGCGUAGAUAUACGGAGGAACACCAGUGGCGAAGGCGGAUUGCUGGACAGUAACUGACGCUGAGGCGCGAAAGCGUGGGGAGCAAACAGG
Molecule: ribosomal RNA, 408 nt
Filed under: bacterium
Lineage: Bacteria
Also listed under: 1 other name
Description: bacterial SSU rRNA
Rfam family: Bacterial small subunit ribosomal RNA
Source: RNAcentral